RNAcentral lists this ribosomal RNA (484 nucleotides) under uncultured bacterium. Its description in RNAcentral is "partial 16S ribosomal RNA". It matches the Rfam family "Bacterial small subunit ribosomal RNA", at positions 30 to 507 of the family's 1533-position model. The record is from RNAcentral.
AGUGAACGCUGGCGGCAGGCCUAACACAUGCAAGUCGAGCGGCAGCGGGUCCUUCGGGCUGCCGGCGAGCGGCGGACGGGCGAGAAAUGCAUCGGAAUCUGCCCUGUCGUGGGGGAUAACCUAGGGAAACUUAGGCUAAUACCGCAUACGACCCACGGGUGAAAGCGGGGGAUCGCAAGACCUCGCGCGAUAGGAUGAGCCGAUGUCCGAUUAGCUAGUUGGCGGGGUAAAGGCUCACCAAGGCGACGAUCGGUAGCUGGGCUGAGAGGAUGAUCAGCCACACUGGAACUGAGACACGGCCCAGACUCCUACGGGAGGCAGCAGUGGGGAAUAUUGGACAAUGGGCGCAAGCCUGAUCCAGCCAUGCCGCGUGGGUGAAGAAGGCCUUCGGGUUGUAAAGCCCUUUUGUCCGGGAAGAAAUCGUCUGGGCUAAUACCCCGGGCGGAUGACGGUACCGGAAGAAUAAGCACCGGCUAACUUCGUG